RNAcentral lists this non-coding RNA (381 nucleotides) under Ananas comosus (pineapple). RNAcentral's name for it is "Bacterial small subunit ribosomal RNA". It matches the Rfam family "Bacterial small subunit ribosomal RNA", at positions 363 to 724 of the family's 1533-position model. Lineage: Eukaryota; Viridiplantae; Streptophyta; Magnoliopsida; Poales; Bromeliaceae. The record is from Rfam by way of RNAcentral.
AAUUUAGUUAGCUAGAAGUUUGAUAAUUAAUACACGAGAUUUGUAAAAAUUUGUAAAAAAUCGAGUUUUGUAAUUUAGAUAGAACAUAUCAGAGGAAUAAGUAUCAGCUAACUCUCUAUACCGGUAGCCACAAUAAGACAAAGGAUGCAAGCGUUAUUCAGAAUAAUUGGGCGUAAAGCGCUUAUUGGUGGCUUGUCAAGUCCGCCGUCAAAUUUUAGGGCUCAACCUUGAACAGGCGGUGGAAACUAUCAAGCUGGAGUACGAUAGGAGCAAGAAAAUUUCCGGUGAGGAUGAAAUGCGUAGGGGAUUGGAAACAACAUCAACGGGACCUUAGAGCUUAUAUUAACUCAUAUAUAUAUCUCUUUAUCGAUCAUUUCAAUU